Molecule: ribosomal RNA, 468 nt
Filed under: uncultured bacterium
Lineage: Bacteria
Description: partial 16S ribosomal RNA
Rfam family: Bacterial small subunit ribosomal RNA
Source: RNAcentral
GACGAACGCUGGCGGCGUGCUUAACACAUGCAAGUCGAACGGAAGGGCCCUGCUUUUGUGGGGUGCUCGAGUGGCGAACGGGUGAGUAACACGUGAGUAACCUGCCCUUGACUUUGGGAUAACUUCAGGAAACUGGGGCUAAUACCGGAUAGGAGCUCCUGCUGCAUGGUGGGGGUUGGAAAGUUUCGGCGGUUGGGGAUGGGCUCGCGGCUUAUCAGCUUGUUGGUGGGGUAGUGGCUUACCAAGGCUUUGACGGGUAGCCGGCCUGAGAGGGUGACCGGCCACAUUGGGACUGAGAUACGGCCCAGACUCCUACGGGAGGCAGCAGUGGGGAAUAUUGCACAAUGGGCGGAAGCCUGAUGCAGCAACGCCGCGUGCGGGAUGACGGCCUUCGGGUUGUAAACCGCUUUCGCCUGUGACGAAGCGUGAGUGACGGUAAUGGGUAAAGAAGCACCGGCUAACUACGUG